Apis dorsata (giant honeybee) is the source of this 782-nucleotide long non-coding RNA. RefSeq lists it as uncharacterized. The record is from RefSeq and is a predicted model, not a curated record. Lineage: Eukaryota; Metazoa; Arthropoda; Insecta; Hymenoptera; Apidae. The transcript has 2 exons.
CUCCACUUCUUCUCUCGUUUUAUUUUAUUUUAUUUUGUUUUUCAUCUCAGAAGGAAGCGGAAAGCCAACGAAUCGAGACUAAUUAACACUUUCGUGAUCGAAGCACGCGAUAAACGCGUUGUUACAUGAGGGUAACGUGUCGCGUUUGCUACCUACCAGGAGCCAUUUAAGCAGGAUAACAUGUACACAGUGUAAUAUGAAGUUUGAUUGCCAACACGUAAAAUACAUACUAUUAUAUCGAGACAGUAAUUAUACACGUGAAGCACGUGAAAUAGUAUGUAUAAAUAUACGUUAUUUUACACGUUAUUUCACGUGUACAGUAUUUCACGUAUGUUUUAGAUACACGACACACAUACUAUUUAAUAGAAAUUUCUGUACAUAUAGUUUACAUUAUGCUUGCAUUAUUUCGUAACGUAAGAGCCUCUCAUCAGAUACUAUAAAAAGGAAAAAACAAUAAAGUUAACUAAGCUAGCGAUUCAUUCACUAAUCGAAAUACUCUUUAACUCGUAUAUCAUGAAUAAUCAAACUUAACAAAUCACAGCCAUACAAUUGCACUGGCUCCUGAUAUUCUAUCUAACGUUAUCUAUUUCGUGUCCUGUUCAAUCGAGAUAAAUUAAUCGCGAAAGUGUUAAUGAACGUCGAUGCAAUCAUUCGUAUAUUUCGAAGAAUUUUCGACUCAAUCAAUUCAUGUUCAUAAUCGUUAAAGAUGUCGUUCAAGAGUAGAUCAUUUUUAGGGCUCAAUGGAAUGGAAAACGCAGAAUUAAUAUGAAACUUAAGUGACA